This is a long non-coding RNA of Melanotaenia boesemani (Boeseman's rainbowfish), 538 nucleotides long. RefSeq lists it as uncharacterized. The transcript is spliced from 5 exons. The record is from RefSeq and is a predicted model, not a curated record. Lineage: Eukaryota; Metazoa; Chordata; Actinopteri; Atheriniformes; Melanotaeniidae.
GAAAAAAAAGAGUUACCAAAUGUCUAUUUUUGUGCCAGAUCUAACGGAUAUGAAGGAAACAUGGAGAUAACGCAAUUUAUCUGAUUUCAGUUCACGGGGACUAAAGUACAAGUUAUUCAUUGAGGAAAUGGUUAUUGGUCAACGUGAGGCUGCUCUGCAGAACGGAUUUUGACUGUUCCAGUGGCUUUAUUCUCAUGGACAACGCAGUCAAGUUUGUGAUGGCACUGUUUACUUUAACUUUGUCUGGAUGGAUAAAUUACCAACAAAAUGAUCCACAACCAAAGCACAAGGAAAUGGAUAGCUACUAUCAAAAACAGUUAAAUAAAGAAGUGGACAACUGGGAAAACAUGGAAAUGGAAAAGAACACAGUCUUGGAGAGAGUGAAAGAAAAACCAGAACCUGAAAUGAAUUCAGAAAACCUGAAACUAAUGGACGAGCUACUCUUUACUCCUACAUUCACCACCUUGAGUGGAUCUUUUCCUCUUGGCACUGUUGUUAUUCUGCUUCUUAUUCACACAUGUGGAGCAGAAUUGGAGAA